This 245-nucleotide ribosomal RNA is filed under the name uncultured bacterium. RNAcentral describes it as "partial 16S ribosomal RNA". It matches the Rfam family "Bacterial small subunit ribosomal RNA", at positions 57 to 305 of the family's 1533-position model. The record is from RNAcentral.
GCAAGUCGAGCGCGAAAUCACUUCGGUGAGAGUAGAGUGGCGGACGGGUGAGUAACGCGUGGGAAUCUACCCUGUAGUGGGGGACAACACGGGGAAACUCGGGCUAAUACCGCAUACGUCCUAGGGGAGAAAGAGGGCCUCUGCUUGCAAGCUCUCGCUAUGGGAUGAGCCCGCGUCCGAUUAGCUAGUUGGUAGGGUAAAGGCCUACCAAGGCGACGAUCGGUAGCUGGUCUGAGAGGAUGACC